RNAcentral lists this ribosomal RNA (917 nucleotides) under Aspergillus flavus. RNAcentral describes it as "LSU rRNA". It matches the Rfam family "Eukaryotic large subunit ribosomal RNA", at positions 34 to 967 of the family's 3401-position model. Lineage: Eukaryota; Fungi; Ascomycota; Eurotiomycetes; Eurotiales; Aspergillaceae. The record is from RNAcentral.
CUAAGCAUAUCAAUAGCGGAGGAAAAGAAACCAACCGGGAUUGCCUCAGUAACGGCGAGUGAAGCGGCAAGAGCUCAAAUUUGAAAGCUGGCUCCUUCGGGGUCCGCAUUGUAAUUUGCAGAGGAUGCUUCGGGUGCGGCCCCUGUCUAAGUGCCCUGGAACGGGCCGUCAGAGAGGGUGAGAAUCCCGUCUGGGAUGGGGUGUCCGCGCCCGUGUGAAGCUCCUUCGACGAGUCGAGUUGUUUGGGAAUGCAGCUCUAAAUGGGUGGUAAAUUUCAUCUAAAGCUAAAUACUGGCCGGAGACCGAUAGCGCACAAGUAGAGUGAUCGAAAGAUGAAAAGCACUUUGAAAAGAGAGUUAAAAAGCACGUGAAAUUGUUGAAAGGGAAGCGCUUGCGACCAGACUCGCCUCCAGGGUUCAGCCGGCAUUCGUGCCGGUGUACUUCCCUGGGGGCGGGCCAGCGUCGGUUUGGGCGGCCGGUCAAAGGCUCCCGGAAUGUAGUGCCCUCCGGGGCACCUUAUAGCCGGGAGUGCAAUGCGGCCAGCCUGGACCGAGGAACGCGCUUCGGCACGGACGCUGGCAUAAUGGUCGUAAACGACCCGUCUUGAAACACGGACCAAGGAGUCUAACAUCUACGCGAGUGUUCGGGUGUCAAACCCGUACGCGCAGUGAAAGCGAACGGAGGUGGGAGCCCCCUCGUGGGGCGCACCAUCGACCGAUCCUGAUGUCUUCGGAUGGAUUUGAGUAAGAGCGUAAAUGUGGGGACCCGAAAGAUGGUGAACUAUGCCUGAAUAGGGCGAAGCCAGAGGAAACUCUGGUGGAGGCUCGCAGCGGUUCUGACGUGCAAAUCGAUCGUCAAAUUUGGGUAUAGGGGCGAAAGACUAAUCGAACCAUCUAGUAGCUGGUUCCUGCCGAAUU